RNAcentral lists this small RNA (770 nucleotides) under Pongo abelii (Sumatran orangutan). RNAcentral's name for it is "processed transcript". Lineage: Eukaryota; Metazoa; Chordata; Mammalia; Primates; Hominidae. The record is from RNAcentral.
UCCCCUCCGACAUAUUGCCCGCAGGAGCUGCGGCGGCGAAGCGGAGAGCACCGGGGGGAGGAGAUGGGUGAGCAGAGCGGCUCAGGCUCGGCCUGGCAACGAGCGGGCGUGCGGGAGGACGAAGAGGUCCCAACAGGACAUCUUACUGUCGAAAUCCGCUCUGUGAGCCAGGAUCCUCGGGGGGCUCUGGUGGAAGCCACACUUCCAGCGCAUCGGUGACCAGUGUUCGUUCCCGCACCAGGAGCAGUUCUGGAACAGGCCUCUCCAGCCCUCCUCUGGCCACCCAAACUGUUGUGCCUCUACAGCACUGCAAGAUCCCCGAGCUGCCAGUCCAGGCCAGCAUUCUGUUUGAGUUGCAGCUCUUCUUCUGCCAGCUCAUAGCACUCUUCGUUCACUACAUCAACAUCUACAAGACAGUGUGGUGGUAUCCACCUUCCCACCCACCCUCCCACACCUCCCUGAACUUCCAUCUGAUCGACUUCAACUUGCUGAUGGUGACCACCAUUGUUCUGGGCCGCCGCUUCAUUGGGUCCAUCGUGAAGGAGGCUUCUCAGAGGGGGAAGGUCUCCCUCUUUCGCUCCAUCCUGCUGUUCCUCACUCGCUUCACCGUUCUCACGGCAACAGGCUGGAGUCUGUGCCGAUCCCUCAUCCACCUCUUCAGGACCUACUCCUUCCUGAACCUCCUGUUCCUCUGCUAUCCGUUUGGGAUGUACAUUCCGUUCCUGCAGCUGAAUUGCGACCUCCGCAAGACAAGCCUCUUCAACCACAUG